GACGAACGCUGGCGGCGUGCUUAACACAUGCAAGUCGAACGGAAAGGCCCUGCUUUUGUGGGGUGCUCGAGUGGCGAACGGGUGAGUAACACGUGAGUAACCUGCCCUUGACUUUGGGAUAACUUCAGGAAACUGGGGCUAAUACCGGAUAGGAGCUCCUGCUGCAUGGUGGGGGUUGGAAGUUUCGGCGGGUGGGGAUGGACUCGCGGCUUAUCAGCUUGUUGGUGGGGUAGUGGCUUACCAAGGCUUUGACGGGUAGCCGGCCUGAGAGGGUGACCGGCCACAUUGGGACUGAGAUACGGCCCAGACUCCUACGGGAGGCAGCAGUGGGGAAUAUUGCACAAUGGGCGGAAGCCUGAUGCAGCAACGCCGCGUGCGGGAUGACGGCCUUCGGGUUGUAAACCGCUUUCGCCUGUGACGAAGCGUGAGUGACGGUAAUGGGUAAAGAAGCACCGGCUAACUACGUG
RNAcentral lists this ribosomal RNA (467 nucleotides) under uncultured bacterium. Its description in RNAcentral is "partial 16S ribosomal RNA". It matches the Rfam family "Bacterial small subunit ribosomal RNA", at positions 28 to 507 of the family's 1533-position model. The record is from RNAcentral.